CGUAGGGUCCAAGCGUUAUCCGGAAUCACUGGGCGUAAAGCGUGCGUAGGUGGCGUGUUAAGUGAAAUGUUAAAUCGUGUGGCUCAACCAUAUCGAUGCAUCUCAUACUGGCAUGCUAGAGGACAGCAGAGGCAAGUGGAAUUACGAGUGUAGCAGUGAAAUGCGUAGAUAUUCGUAGGAACACCAAUGGCGAAGGCAGCUUGCUGGGCUACUCCUGACACUGAGGUACGAAAGCGUGGGGAGCGAACAGGAUUAGAUACCCUGGUAGUCCACGCCGUAAACGAUGCAUACUAGCCUUAUGGGGUAUCGACCCCCUGUGAGACGAAGCUAACGCGAUAAGUAUGCCGCCUGGGAAGUACGGCCGCAAGGCU
RNAcentral lists this ribosomal RNA (371 nucleotides) under uncultured organism. Its description in RNAcentral is "bacterial SSU rRNA". It matches the Rfam family "Bacterial small subunit ribosomal RNA", at positions 526 to 895 of the family's 1533-position model. The record is from RNAcentral.